CAAAAUUGAUUAAUAAAAUGAUAUAACUUUAUCAUUACCAUCAUUAAAAAAUGAAAAAAAAAUCACAAGAAUUAAGGGCUAAAAUUACUCUUGAUGAACAUUUAUAGGCACAAGUUUUUAAUUAAUAUUUAUGUAAUUAAAAAUAGUUCCUUUAAGAUUAUUAUUAUAGCCAUGCCUAGUCGCUCAUCAAGAACAUUUGUGCGAGGUUGCUAUAUAGUAAAAUGGGGAGCUACACAGUUUCAAAUUCACUAGUGCCCAAUUCCAGGUGCAUGGGCAUUACUAUGGAAUGAUGUAGGUGGGAUUGUAGUCCCGAGCAAUGUAAUUCAUAGUAUCCUUUUUAUUCCUAAAAAAAAGGGACUUCUAUUGAUAAGGAAGCAAAAUAAAGGGCAAUUUAUACUAAUUAAUUUUUAAAAUUCAAUUUGAAGUGAACUUCUCUUUUUCACUAGAAUUAAGAAAAGAAAAACGUAAAACAACUAAUAGAUACUAAAAUAAUUAUUCAGUCAAAAGAUGUUCUAAAUUCUUUUAUUCUCUCACGCCUCCUCCUUUUAUCAAUUGCUAUCUUCUUCUUUUUCAUUUUUUCCCCUUCUUUUACCUAAUUGCUAUCUUCUUCUUUUUCUUUUUGUCCCCUUCUUUUACCUAAUUGCUAUUUUCUUCUUUUUCUUUUUGUCCCCUUCUUUUACCUAAUUGCUAUCUUCUUCUUUUUCUUAUUUCCCCCCUUCUUUUACCUAAAUCAGAUUGCUUGGGACUUAGCUUGAACAAACAAACAUCCCAAUUUUGAGAUUUUUCUCCAUUGAAACCACAUCACAUCAACAAAAUCCCAAAUCUGAAUCACUUCAAUUUCACAGGUGAGUUUAAAGUCCUCGUGUAUAUAUAGACGCGUAUAUAUACGUGUACUACAUACGUAUGUAAACUGUAAAGUCUUUCAAUACUGUAUGUUCUUCUUUUAUGAUCUGAAAUUUGUUAAAUUUUGUUUGUUUUUCUUGUAGAAUUGAUGGUCUGCUUUUAGAUUUUUGUUACAGAAUGAGUUUCAACUAUUAUUAAGGAUCUUUCCACUUUGCUGCUGAAGGUAACAACGGCGUAGAGAUGAGGUUUGCCAUUUCCCUUCAUCUUCUCCACUGCUAACUAGCAAAAAUUCUAAUACUUGAUAAUGGUAAUUUUCAGUUUUGAUUAUUCAAUUAUUAUUUUUCUUAUUUUUUAUUUAUAUCUAAUUUGUUUCAUUAUAUUUCUAAAUCUCUAUCGAUGAGUAUUUUAUUAGGGAUUUGAUUUCCUGUUAGUGGAUCUGAUCUGUUCUUUCUGUACGAGGCAACCAUAUUAGAAUAUCUUUUUUUUUGUCUUAAUUCAAGAUUUUAUUUCUGAAUCGUAAUUUAGAAGUUGCUGAAAGUUUUAUUUGGUUGUUGAGAAAAUGCUUGGAGAGCUAAUGUAAGUAUUAGAUUAUACGAAUGCAAUAACCUGUUGCUGAAAACAAAAUCUGUUAGAUAUAGCUAUUAUGCUUUUUAAGUGUUUUUUGUGUCACAUUGAUUUGGACUUUGGUAUAUUAGAAUGACUGAAGUCUAGGCUCUAAUUAAUUUAUUGACUGGUUUUUGCCUUUUUAGCUUGAACUUGAAACUGUUUCCUUUGUGAAGGUUUGUGCUUUACCACCUUGAUUGGUCUGUUGUUAUACAGGAACUCAAAGAUUGUAUUAAGGGAUUGCUGUAUUUGGUGGGAGUGGUAGAAUAUCAAAUCCGGGUUUUCAGAACUGAUUGAUACGGAUAGAGAGAGACACAGAGCCAGAGAAACAGGUUUUCUAUUUCAACUCAAUGUUUUUAGUUUUUGUUAGGAUGAAUGCAUGGAUUAUAACCCCCCAAAUAAAUAAAGCAUGCCAAAACAAAGAAAGGGUUAAAUUUCAGUUUGGGUUUUGAUUCCAGAAACCCUAUGCUAACAUCAUUUGUUUUGUUAAUUAUCUAAGCAGCCAAUAUCAUCUAUUUCAUCAUGCAUAAAAGUUCAGGCAACAAAACUCAUCCUAUGAAAAAAAGAUAAACUCAC
Molecule: long non-coding RNA, 2022 nt
Filed under: Gossypium barbadense (sea-island cotton)
Lineage: Eukaryota; Viridiplantae; Streptophyta; Magnoliopsida; Malvales; Malvaceae
Description: long non-coding RNA (GBAR_LNC013565)
Source: RNAcentral